Molecule: ribosomal RNA, 450 nt
Filed under: uncultured bacterium
Lineage: Bacteria
Description: partial 16S ribosomal RNA
Rfam family: Bacterial small subunit ribosomal RNA
Source: RNAcentral
GUGGGGAAUAUUGGACAAUGGGCGCAAGCCUGAUCCAGCCAUGCCGCGUGUGUGAAGAAGGCCUUCGGGUUGUAAAGCACUUUUGUUGGGAAAGAAAUCCUGUCGGCUAAUACCCGGCGGGGAUGACGGUACCCAAAGAAUAAGCACCGGCUAACUUCGUGCCAGCAGCCGCGGUAAUACGAAGGGUGCAAGCGUUACUCGGAAUUACUGGGCGUAAAGCGUGCGUAGGUGGUUCGUUAAGUCAGAUGUGAAAGCCCCGGGCUCAACCUGGGAAUUGCAUUUGAUACUGGCGGACUAGAGUGCGGUGGAGGAGAGUGGAAUUCCCGGUGUAGCAGUGAAAUGCGUAGAGAUCGGGAGGAACAUCAGUUGCGAAGGCGGCUCUCUGGACCAGCACUGACACUGAGGCACGAAAGCGUGGGGAGCAAACAGGAUUAGAUACCCGAGUAGUCC